GUGGGUAUAGCUCAGUGGUAGAAUGCAUGCUUAGUAUGCCUGAGGUUCUGGGUUCAAUCCCCAGUAUCUCCA
This 72-nucleotide transfer RNA is filed under the name Camelus bactrianus (Bactrian camel). It matches the Rfam family "tRNA". Rfam says of the family: Transfer RNA (tRNA) molecules are approximately 80 nucleotides in length. The record is from Rfam by way of RNAcentral. Lineage: Eukaryota; Metazoa; Chordata; Mammalia; Artiodactyla; Camelidae. RNAcentral also lists the same sequence under 1 other name.